UUGUUUCACCUGUGGAUUUUGGGCAGGAAGAGCUCCAGCUGCGUCUCUUUUAAAAGAUCCAUCACCACCACGGGCUGAUCCCUUGGUGUCCCCCUGUCAAUUAGAAAGUUUGCAGUUAAUGUUUACAUUUGACAUUGGAGACACUAUCCAAGUAAACUACAAGAAAGUAUAUUAGUGGUGAACAAAAGAGCAUAAUUACCUCCAACUGUGCAUCAUGUUCAUUCCGAAUAUAGCAGUCCCGGGAUAAAGGCAAAAACGAAAGAAAUAGUCAGAUCAAAUUAAUAAAGACUAUGAAAAUGUCAGGAAUCGAACAUCAAGUUUUGGAGUUCUAAAUCAUGUCAAUUGAGACUUAAGCCUAGUUUAAUAUUGUUGUUAAAAAUACUUGUUUUAAGAAAGUUUGGGCUUACAAAUGUGGUUUAGAAAUUUUAAAGGGUUUGACAUUGUAUUGAAAAAGUGCAGUGAAAAAUCUAAGAGUAGAAAAAAUGUUUAAAAUAAUCAAAAGUUGAAAAUGUGAGGAUAAUAAACUUAUUUUGUCCAAAAGUCAGCUUCCAGACCACAAAAACUCCAUUUUCUUGGCUUUUUUAUUUGGGUUAUCAAAUUAUGAUUUGAACCACAGAAGCCAAAUACUUUUACUCAUUUAGCAUUGUGUUUGCGGUGAAAUGCAGUAUUUAAGGUAAACUGGGCCUAAUGAUUCGCAAGACAAUGAUGAUAAACAUAAAAUUUUAACUCCUAAUUAUGAUAAAUUGACAAAUUGGAUCAAUUGAAAAGUACGUCAAAAGUUAGAGCUACAAGCUAAGAAAAUCAAGCAGAAAGUGAAGUAAAUAAACAAAUAGGUCAAAAGUCAAGGCCCGCUUACCUCCCUGUAUCUGGCAAGAUAUAUUUUAAGUGGCUCGAUAUAGUCUUCGAAUCCUAAUGUUGCCAUUGCCCACAACAAGUCAUCUCCAUUAAUUGUCUUCCUUUUCUCUUUUUGACAUUUAUCACUUGCCCUACAAAACAAACAGCCAG
This 1005-nucleotide long non-coding RNA is filed under the name Gossypium raimondii (Peruvian cotton). RNAcentral describes it as "long non-coding RNA (GRAI_LNC007296)". The record is from RNAcentral. Lineage: Eukaryota; Viridiplantae; Streptophyta; Magnoliopsida; Malvales; Malvaceae.